RNAcentral lists this long non-coding RNA (708 nucleotides) under Bemisia tabaci. RNAcentral's name for it is "lncRNA ENSSSA2NGG004848". Lineage: Eukaryota; Metazoa; Arthropoda; Insecta; Hemiptera; Aleyrodidae. The record is from RNAcentral.
GUCGGGUCAAAAUUCGGCAUGGAGAUGGUCCUUGAGAACCGUGUCGGUCGAGCGCGGCGAAGGCGGCCGCGGCGUCAGCGGUGGCUUAGCUUUGAACGGAGCAAUUAGUGUGACGCAACUGGAGCCGACUGGCAAGCUGAGGUGAAGAAAGUAAGUUGAAUACGAGGCGAGCUCCUUCUGCCUCGGUCCGGUCGCAAGUCUUGUCCUGCAAGCCCGUAACUCCUUUCUGCGAGACACCCGCGAGACCCGCGAGCAGGAUCGCUGGAACCAGCGCCGCGCCUUCUUCGCCGUUGCAGUCCCGAUCGCUGUCUCUGGCGCUGUGUCGCGUCCCCCUGCCGCCUGCCGCCUGCCGCCCGCCGCCCUGCCUCCCGCCGAGCACCGUCGCGCCGCGCUCCGCCUGAGCAGCCACCGACCGGUUGGUGAGUAAAACCUGAGGCACCUCGGAUACUUCCAACACGGCGCUCCCCCGUCAGUUUGUUUUCACUCCGAGUGACUCGGAUUUCGCCCCGCGCUCACGUGUCUUAUCACCGCACUUGUCGCUCCGCUUGUUCUUGUACCCGUCAACUUUUCGGCAGUGUCGUGUGUUUACUUUGCUUUCGCCAAAAAACGGAUACUAAGGAAUACUUUCCGCUUGAGGUCAAUCCCUUAAACUCGAUUCAUGAGUACCUUCCUAACGACUCAGACCCAUCAUCCUAUUCGAAAAGAUGA